Molecule: ribosomal RNA, 408 nt
Filed under: uncultured bacterium
Lineage: Bacteria
Description: partial 16S ribosomal RNA
Rfam family: Bacterial small subunit ribosomal RNA
Source: RNAcentral
GACGAACGCUGGCGGCGUGCUUAACACAUGCAAGUCGAACGAAGUGGCGAACGGGUGAGUAACGCGUAAUCAACCUGCCCUUCAGAGGGGGACAACAGUUGGAAACGACUGCUAAUACCGCAUACUGAAGGAGGGGAUUGCGUCUGAUUAGCUAGUUGGAGGGGUAACGGCCCACCAAGGCGAUGAUCAGUAGCCGGUCUGAGAGGAUGAACGGCCACAUUGGGACUGAGACACGGCCCUUACGCCUACGGGAGGCAGCAGUGGGGAAUAUUGGACAAUGGACCAAAGUCUGAUCCAGCAAUUCUGUGUGCACGAUGAAGUUUUUCGGAAUGUAAAGUGCUUUCAGUUGGGAAGCGGUACCGGAAUAGAAAGCCACGGCUAACUACGUGCCAGCAGCCGCGGUAAUUC